RNAcentral lists this ribosomal RNA (460 nucleotides) under uncultured bacterium. RNAcentral describes it as "partial 16S ribosomal RNA". It matches the Rfam family "Bacterial small subunit ribosomal RNA", at positions 338 to 795 of the family's 1533-position model. The record is from RNAcentral.
CCUACGGGUGGCAGCAGUGAGGAAUAUUGGUCAAUGGGCGCAGGCCUGAACCAGCCAAGUCGCGUGAGGGAAGACUGCCCUAUGGGUUGUAAACCUCUUUUAUAAGGGAAGAAUAAUGACUACGUGUAGUCAGAUGCCCGUACCUUAUGAAUAAGCAUCGGCUAACUCCGUGCCAGCAGCCGCGGUAAUACGGAGGGUGCGAGCGUUAAUCGGAAUUACUGGGCGUAAAGCGCUCGUAGGCGGUAUGUCAAGUCAAGGGUGAAAUCCCCGCGCUCAACGUGGGAACUGCCUUUGAAACUGGCAAACUGGAGUGUGUGAGAGGAUAGUGGAAUUCCAGGUGUAGGAGUGAAAUCCGUAGAUAUCUGGAGGAACAUCAGUGGCGAAGGCGACUAUCUGGCACAUAACUGACGCUGAGGAGCGAAAGCGUGGGUAGCAAACAGGAUUAGAUACCCCGGUAGUC